Molecule: ribosomal RNA, 512 nt
Filed under: Insulodrilus bifidus
Lineage: Eukaryota; Metazoa; Annelida; Clitellata; Tubificida; Phreodrilidae
Description: partial 16S ribosomal RNA
Rfam family: Bacterial large subunit ribosomal RNA
Source: RNAcentral
GGUCGCCUGUUUAUCAAAAACAUUGGUAAUUGAAUUAUAUAAUUAGUAAGCCCUGCCCACUGCAAAUGUCAACGGCCGCGGUAUCCUAACCGUGCAAAGGUAGCAUAAUCACUUGUUCAUUAAUUGUGGACUAGAAUGAACGGGUAAACGAAAUAACUACUGUCUCUUUAAGACCAAAUUUAAAUUAAUACUUAUGUGAAGAAGCAUAAAUUUAUUCGCAGGACAAGAAGACCCUAUAGAGCUUUACCAUACACUUAUACAAAAUAGGCAGCGGUUCGGUUGGGGCGACCCAGGAUAAAUCAUCCUAAUCUUUUAAGACAUAUAUGUCUAACCUAGGAUCCUAAAACGAUCAAAAGAGCAAGCUACCUUAGGGAUAACAGGCUAAUCCCAUUAAAGAGCUCUUAUCACCAAUGGGGAUUGGCACCUCGAUGUUGGCUUAGGAUAUCACUUUAGUGUAGCAGCUAAAAAAGUUGGUUUGUUCAACCAUAAAAAUCCUACGUGAUCUGAGUUCA